RNAcentral lists this long non-coding RNA (1020 nucleotides) under Lathyrus oleraceus (garden pea). RNAcentral's name for it is "Pisum sativum (pea) long non-coding RNA (PSAT_LNC037378)". Lineage: Eukaryota; Viridiplantae; Streptophyta; Magnoliopsida; Fabales; Fabaceae. The record is from RNAcentral.
AGGAGACAAAGCUGCGCAUUCAAUUAGAUCUCAUUUCUCCCUCAUUUCAAAAGUUUAAAAAAAAUUGUGAGGAGGAGAUAAAGUUUUUCUUCAUGCACCUGCUACAUAUAUCAUACUUCCUCUCUCUCUCUCAUGUUGAUUCAUACACUAUAAUCCUCUUUUCACUAUUCACAAAAUACUCACACCAAAAUAUAUAUAACUUUCUCAUCAACCACUAACAAUAUAUCAACAUCUCUCACCAAAACCAUACAUCUUCUUCCUCACACAGACUCAAUAAUACAUGCUUUCAAAAUAAAAGAAAACAAAGAAUAACAAAAGAAGUAUAAAGCUUGAAGAAAAUUUUGGCUUUCUUCCUUCUAAUACAACUCUAAGCACAACUCAUACUUCAAAACUCAGAAGCUCCACCAUCUCAUUUUCGGUUAUCAUCCACAAAUUUCUUGCAUCGCUUUUUUUUCUCUUUAUUUCGGUAUUCUUCUUAUUUGAUAUUUUUAUUUUAUGUUGAUAUUCAUUUGCUUUAGGAUUUGAUUUGUUUUUAAAAAAAAUCUGUAAAUAACUAUUGAGUUUGUUGUUGUUCAUAGAGUAUGAGUUAGUUUGUAAAAUAAUAGAAGAUAGUUUUCUUUAUUUUCAAAAUAAAGAAGCAUGAAAUGGAAGAAAGUUUGAUUGUUAGUUUUGUAGAUGAUUUUUUUUUGUUGAAAAGAAAACUUAUCUCGAGUAAUUCUUACCGCUAUUGUGUAUGCUACAUGGUAUUUUAUUUUUUAUUUAUUUAAAGUCAUGAUAUGUGUCAAUUUGUUAUUGGGGGUUGUUAAACUUUGAAAAAAUAAGAAUUUGAAUAAGUGGGGCGCUGCUUUUGUUUUCUCUUGUUAUUUUUUAAAUUCUUUAUUUUAAUUAUUAUGAUAUUUGUUUUGUUUUUUAGAUUAGUUUUUUAAUAUAAAAUUUGUUUCAUUUUAGAUUAGAGUUUAAUAAUUUUUAUUAUUUUUAGAUUAGAGUUUAAUAAUUUUUUUUUAAAUUUUUAGGGUAGAG